AAAAGAUCAAGGAAUCAGCUCUUAUCAGAGUAAUAUUGAAAUUGCGCUUAAUGGAUGCCUUCAUGCUUCUGGCUUACCACAGAAGAAGCAGGUGGUGUUCUUGAAACCCAUGCCAUGGAACCUUGUAUAAGAUGAAGAGACCACAUCUGUACUCAGUAUUCAAGAUGUGGGCAUACCAUGGAUUUAUAUAAGGGCAGUAAGAUAUUCUCUGUCUUAUUCUCUAUCCCUUUUUUAAUGAUUCCUAACAUCCUAUUUGCUUUUUUAACUGCCGCUGCACACUGCGUGGACGUCUUCAGAGAACUAUCCACAAUGACUCCAAGAUCUCUUUUCUGAUUAGU
Molecule: long non-coding RNA, 338 nt
Organism: Malaclemys terrapin pileata
Lineage: Eukaryota; Metazoa; Chordata; Testudines; Emydidae
Exons: 3
Source: RefSeq, a predicted model, not a curated record